RNAcentral lists this ribosomal RNA (253 nucleotides) under uncultured bacterium. RNAcentral's name for it is "partial 16S ribosomal RNA". It matches the Rfam family "Bacterial small subunit ribosomal RNA", at positions 524 to 776 of the family's 1533-position model. The record is from RNAcentral.
UACGGAGGGGGCUAGCGUUGUUCGGAAUUACUGGGCGGAAAGCGCGCGUAGGCGGAUCUGCAAGUCGGGGGUGAAAUCCCGAGGCUCAACCUCGGAACUGCCUUCGAUACUGCGGGUCUCGAGUCCGGGAGAGGUGAGUGGAAUUCCUAGUGUAGAGGUGAAAUUCGUAGAUAUUAGGAAGAACACCAGUGGCGAAGGCGGCUCACUGGCCCGGUACUGACGCUGAGGCGCGAAAGCGUGGGGAGCAAACAGG